AAUCUGGUACGGUCGUACCAGAAAGUACGCGCGACGGCGGACCUGUCACCCGGCGCGUGCUC
RNAcentral lists this non-coding RNA (62 nucleotides) under unclassified sequences. The record is from RNAcentral.